Podarcis lilfordi (Lilford's wall lizard) is the source of this 3532-nucleotide non-coding RNA. The record is from the annotation of a GenBank genome assembly. NCBI's taxonomy places the organism in Eukaryota, Metazoa, Chordata, Lepidosauria, Squamata, Lacertidae.
ACCACACUGGCUUCCUAGAGUACAUCUGCUUUGGGGCAGCUAUAUGAAUUAAGUAGGUAAAUAAAUAUGGGGAAAGCAAAAUGUCACUUGGAGAAGGAUCUGAAAUAUUUUCCUUGAAGCUUGAGUUGGUUUUCUUCUGGCUUGUUUUAUUUGAUGUCUUAAUGUGUUGUAGACUGCUUUGAGAUUUUUUCUUUAAAAUAUAAUGCAGUAUGGAAAUGAAUACAACAACAACUCCCCCUGAGGGGGAAAAAUGGCGCCCGUAACCUAAGUUUAAGGUGCCAUUUGGUGAUUAGCUUACCGUAUAGAUCUGAGUUUCUAACACUGCUCAGUAUUGUCUACACUGACUGGCAGUAGCUCUCCAGGAGCCCUACCUGGAGAUACUGGAGAUUGCACCUGGGAGCUUUUGCUUGCAAGGCAGAUGCUAUGCCACUGAACUGUGGCCCUUAUCUCUGGGCGACAUUCACACCAUACAAUUAGUCACUAUACAAAAGCUUCCCCCAAAGAGUUCCGGGAGCCGUAGUAUGUUAAGGGUGCUGAGGGUUGUUAAGAGACCCACGUUCUCUGCUGCCCUGAGCUACAAUUCUUGUACAGUAUACCUCGGGUUGCAUAUGCUUCAAGUUACAUAUGCUUCAGGUUACAGACUCCACUAACCCAGAAAUAGUGCUUCAGGUUAAGAACUUUGCUUCAGGGUAAGAACAGAAAUUGGGCUCUGGCGGCACGGCGGCAGCAGGAGGCCCCAUUAGCUAAAGUGGUGCUUCAGGUUAAGAACAGUUUCAGGUUAAGAAUGGACCUCCAGAACGAAUUAAGUACUUAACCCAAGGUACCACUGUAGUUCCCUGGCAAGAGAUUGAUUGUUAAACCACUUUGGGAAUUGUAGCCCUGUGAGGGGAAUCAGGCGGUGUCUUAACAUCUCUCAGCACUCUUAAUGCACAAAAGUUCCCAGAAUUCUUUGGGGGAAACCAUGGCUAUUUUCUAAAGGGCUUUAAAUGUAGGUGUGAUUGUGGCCAGGGUGGUAGAAGAGACUAGUUUCUCUUGCGAGUGCUCCUGCUUAGUGAUGGUGAGCUGUUUGAGCUCUCUCUACUGGUUGCUGGGCCACUCACAAGCACCUUGAUUGUGUGAACUGCUUGUUGAAGGCUAGAUGGCAUUCAUAAUUUCCCAUUUGAAUGUGUUCUUGAGCGUACCAAGUCAUAAGAGGUUCUGGCAGGGCAAUCAUUAUCUGGAUUUGUUGUCUUUUAGAGGUGAGAUCGCUGGAGACUUGCAUGUUUGGUGGUUACUUAUUUUAGAUAAAUACACAAGUUUAUUUAUUUCGAUUUGUAUGCCACUUUCCCAUUAUAAAUGUGCCCGAACAGAAAUGCGAAUUGGUACAUCAUUACAGUCUUCUGUUGCACCACGGUUACCCUAACACUGAGCCAUGAUUCUCCACAUAAAUUUCCCAAACUGUUAUUGCUUUGGGUGCUCCUGCAACAGUCCAUUCUCUGUUUAUGAUAUUUUGGGUCCUGGCAAGUUUGGCACCUACAGUGCACACCUAGAAUGAGGCUUGUUCCCCCCCCCCCCCACUUCCCUUACAAAGGAGUGAUUUUUUAAAAUAAAGUGCCGCAUAUUGCUGAGGUCUCUGUUUGUACCAUGACCCCACUCUACCACUCCAGCAACAAUGGAAUUCCAAUAAGGAGUGGAAUAUUUUUAACUUUGUAUGCAACAGUGGAAAGUCGAUCUAGUUGAUUGGAAGUUCCUGCUUAGGAAACUCUUGUAACAUACACAAAUGGCUCCUUGAGGAUUGGGGUGUGUGUGUGUGUGUGUGUGUGUGUGUCCUUUUACUAUGUUUUUAUAUACAGUGGUACCUCGGGUUACAUACGCUUCAGGUUUCAGACUCCGCUAAUCCAGAAACAGUGCUUCAGGUUAAGAACUUUGCUUCAGGAUGAGAACAGAAAUCGUGCUUCGGCGACACAGCAGCAGCAGGAGGUCCCAUUAGCUAAAGUGGUGCUUCAGGUUAAGAACAGUUUCAGGUUAAGUACGGACCUCGGGAAUGAAUUAAGUACUUAACCUGAGGUACCACUGUAUGCUGGAAGCCUCCCAGGUGGCUGGGGCAACCCAGUCAGAUGGGUGGGGUAUAAAUAAAAUUUUGCUGUUGUUGUUGUUAGGCCAUACAGAUAUUUUGCCUGAGAGAAAUCCUCCUUGUGGUGCAAGGGUUAAGUUUGAGGCUCCACCCCGCGGCUUGCUUAGGUUUGCAAGGGGGGAAAUGCAACAUGCUUUGAAUUUUUGGAAUUCCUAACCCUAAUAGUUCACUGGAUGAAGGAAUGGUUUAUUCAUAAGAGGUGGGGGGGCUCCCUCCCUUUUUGCAUUCAUCAGACCUCUCUCCACCCCCUUACUUCCUGAUGAUCUGCUCCCAAGAUUUAUUGGGGAGGGUCUAAGACUGAUUGUUUGUUUCUCUCUUUCAUAUUGAAAGGCAGCCUUUGAAGCGGCAAAAGCUGUGCUUCCUGUUGCUGUGGCUUGAGGUUACAAAGGGAACAGAUCAUGGAAGUCUAGUCACUUGCUUGGGCCUUUUUCAGAGGAGAUUUUAAAGAGAAUCCUUAAAACAUACACACAAAGAAACAAACAGGACGGCAGGAAACUUCCUUGCACCAAGGCCAAAUGCGCACCAUACAUUUAAAGCACUAUAAUACCACAUUAAACAGUCAAUUUCUGCCAAAGAAUCCUGAGAAGUAUAGUAUGUUAAGUUGCUGAGAGUUGUUUGGUGGCCCCCUGUUUCUCUUGCAGAGCUUCAGUUCCCAGAGUUCCCUGGGAAGAGGGGCAACACCCUGGGAAUUUUAGCUUGUCCGUGCUCCUACCAACAGUGUGUAUGUAGUUUAGGCUAUCAGUGGCUACUAGUAGUGUUUCUGAAUGCUGGUUUCUGGAAACCCGAGGUGGAGAGAGUGUUCUUGUGACCCGAGUCCACUUGCAAGCUUCCCACAGCUGCCUGGUUUGCAGCUGUGAGAACAGGAUACUGGAAUAAGUGGGUUAUUGGCCGGAUUCAGCAGGGCUCUCGCAUGCUCAGUUUCAGGGGAGAAAAGGCUGGUUAAGAGAUACCAGUUUGGUCGCUCUUUUCCCCACUCUGCCGCAGUCUUUUCCUAGAUGUUGUUGGACUACAAUUCCCAUCAUCCAUAGCCAGCAGUGCCAGUGGGUCCAUUUUCUGGGCGCCAGUGGGAGUCGGGGGGGGGAUAUGCUUAAAUACGGAGAAACUUCACAGGGACAUGUUUGAAUUGGGAACAUAGGUAGUUGUAUUAACGGGGAAGUUUAGAGUGUACUUGCAAGGUCAUGAUAGGGCAUAGCAGAGACACCUGUUUCAGAGUGUUUGCCAUCAUAUUUAUGCUUGAAAGUUUAAGCUACUGGUUAUCGAGGUUGAACUGCCCUUGCAUUUGUCCCCCACAUAUUCAGGAUAUCUGUACCUGCUUCUUUGUCCUGUGCAGCUUCUUUGUCAGAACCUUGACAUGUUUAAUAGCCCUUUUUGGACAUCUGCUGAGUCGAUCUGGGCAAGGAGAAUGUGUUGAUCAGAGCU